Molecule: small RNA, 190 nt
Filed under: Corynebacterium appendicis
Lineage: Bacteria; Bacillati; Actinomycetota; Actinomycetes; Mycobacteriales; Corynebacteriaceae
Description: c-di-AMP sequence
Rfam family: c-di-AMP riboswitch aptamer (ydaO/yuaA leader) (bases 24-190)
About the family: This family represents a conserved RNA structure found upstream of the ydaO and yuaA genes in Bacillus subtilis and related genes in other bacteria. The ydaO/yuaA element is thought to act as a genetic "off" switch for the ydaO and yuaA genes in its native state. It is believed that the element may be triggered during osmotic shock leading to activation of ydaO, a predicted amino acid transporter gene, and members of the yuaA-yubG operon which code for KtrA and KtrB K+ transporters.
Source: RNAcentral
GCAUGAAAUACGACGCAAGUGCACAAGUACAUAGGACAAAAGCGGGGGACCCACCCAGCACAGCGUGAAACGCGCGAGUGCACCGCGGAGCGAGCUCCGCUUGGGGUGAAGCCGCCGUCUGGGCGGCCAGGUGAUUCAAACCUCAGCCUGAACCCGACAGCUCACCUCGCAGACGUAGAACAAGAGAGGA